This 570-nucleotide ribosomal RNA is filed under the name uncultured bacterium. RNAcentral describes it as "partial 16S ribosomal RNA". It matches the Rfam family "Bacterial small subunit ribosomal RNA", at positions 355 to 918 of the family's 1533-position model. The record is from RNAcentral.
UGGGGAAUAUUGCACAAUGGGCGCAAGCCUGAUGCAGCCAUGCCGCGUGUGUGAAGAAGGCCUUCGGGUUGUAAAGCACUUUUGUCCGGAAAGAAAUCCUUGGCUCUAAUACAGUCGGGGGAUGACGGUACCGGAAGAAUAAGCACCGGCUAACUACGUGCCAGCAGCCGCGGUAAUACGUAGGGUGCAAGCGUUAAUCGGAAUUACUGGGCGUAAAGCGUGCGCAGGCGGUUUGCUAAGACCGAUGUGAAAUCCCCGGGCUCAACCUGGGAACUGCAUUGGUGACUGGCAGGCUAGAGUAUGGCAGAGGGGGGUAGAAUUCCACGUGUAGCAGUGAAAUGCGUAGAGAUGUGGAGGAAUACCGAUGGCGAAGGCAGCCCCCUGGGCCAAUACUGACGCUCAUGCACGAAAGCGUGGGGAGCAAACAGGAUUAGAUACCCUGGUAGUCCACGCCCUAAACGAUGUCAACUAGUUGUUGGGGAUUCAUUUCCUUAGUAACGUAGCUAACGCGUGAAGUUGACCGCCUGGGGAGUACGGUCGCAAGAUUAAAACUCAAAGGAAUUGACGGGG